AAGAGCCGGAUGAGCUGAAAGGUUCCACGUCCGGUUGCGUAAGAGCCUGUGGGUGAGAUCCCCUCGAGUUACUCGAC
This 77-nucleotide unclassified non-coding RNA is filed under the name Photorhabdus luminescens. Lineage: Bacteria; Pseudomonadati; Pseudomonadota; Gammaproteobacteria; Enterobacterales; Morganellaceae. The record is from RNAcentral.